This 253-nucleotide ribosomal RNA is filed under the name uncultured bacterium. Its description in RNAcentral is "partial 16S ribosomal RNA". It matches the Rfam family "Bacterial small subunit ribosomal RNA", at positions 524 to 776 of the family's 1533-position model. The record is from RNAcentral.
UACAGAGGUCUCAACCGUUGUUCGGAUUCAUUGGGCGUAAAGGGUGCGUAGGCGGUCGUGCAAGUCGGAUGUGAAAUCUCAGGGCUCAACCCUGAAACUGCAUUCGAUACUGCAUGGCUAGAGUGCUGGAGAGGAGACUGGAAUUUACGGUGUAGCAGUGAAAUGCGUAGAUAUCGUAAGGAAGACCAGUGGCGAAGGCGAGUCUCUGGACAGCAACUGACGCUGAGGCACGAAGGCCAGGGGAGCAAACGGG